This 500-nucleotide ribosomal RNA is filed under the name uncultured bacterium. RNAcentral's name for it is "partial 16S ribosomal RNA". It matches the Rfam family "Bacterial small subunit ribosomal RNA", at positions 30 to 523 of the family's 1533-position model. The record is from RNAcentral.
AUUGAACGCUGGCGGAAUGCUUUACACAUGCAAGUCGAACGGCAGCACGGGGGCAACCCUGGUGGCGAGUGGCGAACGGGUGAGUAAUACAUCGGAACGUGCCCAGUCGUGGGGGAUAACGUAGCGAAAGUUACGCUAAUACCGCAUACGAUCUACGGAUGAAAGCGGGGGACCGUAAGGCCUCGCGCGAUUGGAGCGGCCGAUGUCAGAUUAGGUAGUUGGUGAGGUAAAGGCUCACCAAGCCGACGAUCUGUAGCUGGUCUGAGAGGACGACCAGCAACACUGGGACUGGGCCACGGCCCAGACUCCUACGGGAGGCAGCAGUGGGGAAUUUUGGACAAUGGGCGCAAGCCUGAUCCUGCCAUUCCGCGUGCAGGACGAAGGCCUUCGGGUUGUAAACUGCUUUUGUACGGAACGAAAAGGCUCUGGUUAAUACCUGGGGCUCAUGACGGUACCGUAAGAAUAAGCACCGGCUAACUACGUGCCAGCCGCCGCAGUAA